UACGUAGGGUGCGAGCGUUAAUCGGAAUUACUGGGCGUAAAGCGUGCGUAGGCGGUUCGCUGUGUCCGAUGUGAAAGCCCCGGGCUUAACCUGGGAAUGGCAUUGGAAACUGGCGGGCUUGAGGGCGGCAGAGGGGGGUGGAAUUCCGCGUGUAGCAGUGAAAUGCGUAGAGAUGCGGAGGAACACCGAUGGCGAAGGCAGCCCCCUGGGUCGACACUGACGCUCAGGCACGAAAGCGUGGGGAGCAAACAGG
Molecule: ribosomal RNA, 253 nt
Filed under: uncultured bacterium
Lineage: Bacteria
Description: partial 16S ribosomal RNA
Rfam family: Bacterial small subunit ribosomal RNA
Source: RNAcentral